This 477-nucleotide ribosomal RNA is filed under the name uncultured bacterium. Its description in RNAcentral is "bacterial SSU rRNA". It matches the Rfam family "Bacterial small subunit ribosomal RNA", at positions 501 to 981 of the family's 1533-position model. The record is from RNAcentral.
CUACGUGCCAGCAGCCGCGGUAAUACGGAAGGUCCAGGCGUUAUCCGGAUUUAUUGGGUUUAAAGGGAGUGUAGGCGGUCUGUUAAGCGUGUUGUGAAAUUUAGGUGCUCAACAUCUACCUUGCAGCGCGAACUGGCGGACUUGAGUGCACGCAACGUAUGCGGAAUUCAUGGUGUAGCGGUGAAAUGCUUAGAUAUCAUGACGAACUCCGAUUGCGAAGGCAGCGUACGGGAGUGUUACUGACGCUUAAGCUCGAAGGUGCGGGUAUCGAACAGGAUUAGAUACCCUGGUAGUCCGCACGGUAAACGAUGGAUGCCCGCUGUUAGCGCCUGGCGUUAGCGGCUAAGCGAAAGCAUUAAGCAUCCCACCUGGGGAGUACGCCGGCAACGGUGAAACUCAAAGGAAUUGACGGGGGCCCGCACAAGCGGAGGAACAUGUGGUUUAAUUCGAUGAUACGCGAGGAACCUUACCCGGGCU